AAAUGAAUUCUGAGGAAGGAAGGCGCAGACCAGAAACCAGACAGAAUAGAAGCCGCAAAGCUUCUGUUAGGCAUAAGAAGAAGCUUUUGGAACAGGGAAAGAGACCAUUGCGUCCCCGUCUACCUAUGUUACCGAAUGGUGGGGUGGCCUACAGAAUGGUGGGAUGGCCUCAUUUUCCAGUGUAUAUGCCAACACUUUGGCCCCUGAAACUGCUCUUCUGUAUCAAUCGUCAACAACAAAACAGACAUUAAUAAAUGGAUUUACCCUGCAGCAGAUCGGCCAGCUGCAUACUUUAAUACACGAACAUCUCCAGCUGCUUAUCCAAGUACUUUGUCUUUGUUUUAACGAUUCCUCCCGACAGCAUAUUGCCUCUCGGAUUCAUGGAUUGAUUUCAGAGAUUUUGCACAAAUGCAG
RNAcentral lists this long non-coding RNA (414 nucleotides) under Linum usitatissimum (flax). Its description in RNAcentral is "long non-coding RNA (LUSI_LNC002705)". Lineage: Eukaryota; Viridiplantae; Streptophyta; Magnoliopsida; Malpighiales; Linaceae. The record is from RNAcentral.